GGCGGAAGAGGAAGUAGUUCCUUUGAAUGUAGACAAUCUGAAUGUUAUAGUUUCUUUCCACUGUGUUCCUGUUAAUGAUAAACUACAAAUGUACUCUAAAUUACUAAAAUAUCGAUAUUUUAAUGUGAGAAUCGAUUCUAGAACAUAAAUGAUUGGUAUCGGAGGAAUUGAUAUUUCAGUAUCGAUCCGCACAUCACUAGUUUUGGAACAAGAAGAAAGGAGUAAAAAGAGCACGAGCGCAUCGUUAAAGCCGACUAACGUGAAAACACGUGACGAGACGAAGUCCGCACAGGCUCAGGGACAGACUUCAUCCUUUUACUUUAACCAUGAAACAUGAAGCUGUCGCUCAUAAUGAGACAGGAGCUCAGCUUUCAGCGUCACAGCUGGAACAACAUCAGCUGACAUGAAAGAAACACAGACGUUUGUUCCUGUUAGCAAAGAUGAAGAUGGAGAGCGUGAGGGAACUACAGAGAGGAGGAGGAGGAGGACACGGGCUGUGAGGGACGCAGUGGAGCAGCCCUCAGACCUGUGUGUCUCACACUGUGAUUACACUCCACACACUCAGUUUCAGUAACACUCAUGAACAACAAUGAAAAGAUAAAGUAAUAAGUUACUGUAGUUCUCAGUUACAGCCUCGUGUUUCCUCCACAUUCGUCUCUUUUUAGACAUCAGCAGGAGCGAGGACGACCCAGCCAG
RNAcentral lists this long non-coding RNA (696 nucleotides) under Oreochromis niloticus (Nile tilapia). Its description in RNAcentral is "lncRNA (ENSONIG00000038429.1)". Lineage: Eukaryota; Metazoa; Chordata; Actinopteri; Cichliformes; Cichlidae. The record is from RNAcentral.